This is a long non-coding RNA of Tympanuchus pallidicinctus (lesser prairie-chicken), 1162 nucleotides long. RefSeq lists it as uncharacterized. NCBI's taxonomy places the organism in Eukaryota, Metazoa, Chordata, Aves, Galliformes, Phasianidae. The transcript has 3 exons. The record is from RefSeq and is a predicted model, not a curated record.
UUAUUUUUAGCUCCCUUUUCUUUUCCUCAGGACUGCGGAGGGUCACUUAUGCUUCAUUUCAAGCAAUCUUUGAACCACGGUGGUGGUGGUGAUCAUGAGGUCCUGGAGCACAAGCAAGAAGUCCCUUGCAUGUAAAGUAUGUAGUGCUACUGAAAAACCUGAACAGUGGCAGCAGUAAGACCUGCUUUUCACCUUCCAGUGUUGUUACAGGCAAUUCACAAAAUGUUUGCAAAGCACUUUGGGAUGCUGAGAUAGAAACCAGGAUCUGAGCCGUUAUAAAGAACAGUUAAUUAUAAAAAUGUAAAUUAAAGUAAUUAUAUAUGCAAAUUUUCAUUAAGCUGUUUAAUACAACACUUAGAGUUUCAUUCUUUAUGCCUGCAUGUAAAUUAUGCAAAUUGUUACUACAUCAUUUAUUUCAUUUGCACAUGUACAAUUUUAUUCUACCUACAAAAUGUGCAUGCGUUUAAAAUAAACCUAAUCUCUCACUGGCUUACUGUAAACACUUGUAAAUUUGAAAGGAAGUUGCUAUGUUCUACUCUUCAGAAAAAAGGAAACAAACAAGCAGAAAGAAAAACUUCUGUGGUUUGCAGACUUUGAUCAGUCUGAAAGAGCAUUCCUUUGCCCUCAGCCUUUCUAAGUACCCCGCGUUGCCCUCUGGCCAGCAAUCAGAGCAAACAGAUUCUUCUUGCUUCUGCUUCACUGCAUCUGUUCCAACUCCUGCCAUGCACAGAAAAUCAGUACUCUUGAAAGAAAAUUUUAAAAAACAGAAUUUAAAAGGCUGAACAGGUGUUCAGGUCAAUAGUUUCAUUUUAAAUAUUGAUGUUGAAAAUUUCUUUCUCUUUUCCCCAUAAUAAAAAUUAACCAGUCAUUCACCAGAUUGAACAAUGUUGUUUCUCUGAACAAUGGUUAGAACGUUAAACAAACAUGUGAAGAUCUAUUUCUCUGUGCCUAAGCUUUCAAAAGUUAUUGGGUGGGGUUUUUUUCUUUUUUUUUUUCAAGGCUCAAGUGUUUUGGUUUUUAUUUGCUAAAUAAAUAUAUAAAAAUAUAAGCUGUGUUAUCUAAAGGUGAACUGCAAACUAAUUAACUAUGAAUCAACAGCAGAAAACCUGUGUAGACUUGAAUGUUAAAAAUAGACUUACCAUAUGUUCAUGUUACACUUAAU